AGUCAUAAUAAUAUUGCAUUAUGAGAGCCUGCCUAUACAGAAGAAGAAGCUAUUCAGAAACCCAGCCUGCUCUGGGCCUAGAAAUGGGAGAGAAGAAAAGGCUCUUAUGAAUUACUUCCCAAUGCCACAGACUGGUUACCAUGUGAAAAUGAGUCCACCUGUGAGAAAUUGAGCUGCAAGGGGAGGGAGGUGAAGGCCAUUGUUCCAUUUCUCUACCUACAGCUGCUGAGUGCAGAUGCUGGGCUGCCCUUCCUUGUUAGAGAUAAGAACCAGCAGGCAAAGCUGCAGCCAGGAAAUCUGGACCUCCUUCCCCAGUAACCUGUGGAGAUUCAGUUUCUGUUGAGCAUAUAUGCUGGGAAGGGAAACUACUAGGAAAGGCAACUGGUUCCAGUGUACCAGAGCUCCACUAAGCUGGUCUAGCAGAUCUGGCUGGCUCACCAGGGCAGCACCAGAGUGAGAAAAAUCUAUGGGAGAAUGAACUAUCAAUAUAAGUGCACAUUUAACACUUCCUUGAAGGUCAGCGCGGAAUUGCUCUCGUUUCAAAAGCCUGCUGCCUGCUGGGAAGGACAGCCAGCCGCCAGUUCCAGGUUAGGACAUAUUUUCAGGGAAACGGUAAGUUACGCUGAUGGAGACAACAUGUCAUGGAUAGAAGCACAACUGUCUUCCCUUGUGUGGCAUCUGAGAGGCAACCCACAAUGUGGGUUGAUCACAUCUUUCUUACCUUGAGAAACACCCAGCUUCCAUCAAUUCUGAGACAUACAAAUUAAACACAGCGAAUAUUCUUGAAAUAUUCUUUUUGCUGUUGCAGUCAGAUAUUGACUAUACCUCAUCAUUCAGCUUUCAGCAUGUUGACACCCCUGAAAUCUCUUUUUCCAUUACGACCCCCAAAAUGCAACUUUGGUUCUUCCCUAAGGGAUGUGUCACUCAAUGUUUCUCUUCCUCCGUCUAAGUUUUGACAAUCAAUUAAUAUAAUGAUGAUUCAAA
This 984-nucleotide long non-coding RNA is filed under the name Pogona vitticeps (central bearded dragon). RNAcentral's name for it is "lncRNA (ENSPVIG00000009271.1)". The record is from RNAcentral. Lineage: Eukaryota; Metazoa; Chordata; Lepidosauria; Squamata; Agamidae.